CAUGUAGCUCAGAGGUAGAGCGCGUCCUUGGUAAGGACGAGGUCGCGGGUUCAAUUCCCGCCAUG
This 65-nucleotide transfer RNA is filed under the name uncultured Roseibacillus sp. It matches the Rfam family "tRNA". Rfam says of the family: Transfer RNA (tRNA) molecules are approximately 80 nucleotides in length. Lineage: Bacteria; Pseudomonadati; Verrucomicrobiota; Verrucomicrobiia; Verrucomicrobiales; Verrucomicrobiaceae. The record is from RNAcentral.